AAAAAAGUUUGAUUCUAGCUUAUUAAAUUUACUCUCUGAUAAUUGGACAUGUGAGAAUUCUCGUGAUUUUAAUUUUCUAAAUGAAAUGAAAAGAAUUAUUUGCAGUCUUAUGUAUUAAAUAUAUUAAAUUUUUUUAGAUUUAGUUAAUUGGAGGAGUUUCGACUAAAAUUGUGCCAGCAGUCGCGGUUAUACAAUUUGAAGCGGGUAAUUUUUUUUGGUACAAUUAUUUAUAUUUUAGUUUUUUAAAACUUUUAAAAUAUUUCUUUUUAAGUGAAAUUAUGAGGAAUAAAAAUUGUUUUGUUUGUGAUUAAAUAAGAAAGUUCUGUUGUGGGAAGAGGAUUAGAUACCCUUUUACUAUGAAUAAUGAAUGUUUGCCUUAGUAUUAAUAGUUAUGGUCUUUAAAUUAAAAGAAUUUGGCGGUAAUUUAGUCUUUCCAGAGGAACCUGCCCUGUAAUUGAUAAUCCACGAUGAAUUUUACUUUAUCUGGGCUUGUAUAUCUCUGUCAUUGAGUGUUUUAUAAGAAUAUUUUCUUUGAUUUUUAUGGAAAAAAUGUCAGGUCAAGGUGCAGCUAUGAUAAAGAAGAGGUGGGUUACAAUAUAAUUAUAUAUGAAUAUAAGUAUGGAAAUUUUAUUGAAAUUGGAUUUGGGAGUAAUUUUAAUUAGAACAUUAUUUUGAUAUAGCUCUAAAUUAUGCACACAUCGCCCGUCACUCUCGUUAUUAAGAUGAGAUAAGUCGUAACAAAGUAGACCUACCGGAAGGUGGGCCUGGAACUAAU
This 775-nucleotide non-coding RNA is filed under the name Acanthaspis cincticrus. The record is from RNAcentral. Lineage: Eukaryota; Metazoa; Arthropoda; Insecta; Hemiptera; Reduviidae.